Molecule: ribosomal RNA, 429 nt
Filed under: Chloroflexota bacterium
Lineage: Bacteria; Bacillati; Chloroflexota
Description: Chloroflexi bacterium partial 16S ribosomal RNA
Rfam family: Bacterial small subunit ribosomal RNA
Source: RNAcentral
UGGGGAAUAUUGCACAAUGGGCGCAAGCCUGAUGCAGCCAUGCCGCGUGUAUGAAGAAGGCCUUCGGGUUGUAAAGUACUUUCAGCGGGGAGGAAGGGAGUAAAGUUAAUACCUUUGCUCAUUGACGUUACCCGCAGAAGAAGCACCGGCUAACUCCGUGCCAGCAGCCGCGGUAAUACGGAGGGUGCAAGCGUUAAUCGGAAUUACUGGGCGUAAAGCGCACGCAGGCGGUUUGUUAAGUCAGAUGUGAAAUCCCCGGGCUCAACCUGGGAACUGCAUCUGAUACUGGCAAGCUUGAGUCUCGUAGAGGGGGGUAGAAUUCCAGGUGUAGCGGUGAAAUGCGUAGAGAUCUGGAGAAAUACCGGUGGCGAAGGCGGCCCCCUGGACGAAGACUGACGCUCAGGUGCGAAAGCGUGGGGAGCAAACAGG